AGGACGAACGCUGGCGGCGUGCUUAACACAUGCAAGUCAAGGGGGCCCGCAAGGGCAACCGGCGAACGGGUGCGUAACACGUGAGCAACCUGCCGAAUGCGUGGGGGAUAGCCGGCCCAACGGCCGGGUAAUACCGCAUACGUUCCCUUGGGGGAGUCCCUGGGGGAGGAAAGCUGUGGCGUAAGCCAUGGCGCGCGUCGAGGGGCUCGCGGCUUAUCAGCUAGUUGGCGGGGUAACGGCCCACCGAAGGCGACGACGAGUAGCUGGUCUGAGAGGAUGGCCAGCCACAUUGGGACUGAGAGACGGCCCAGACUCCUACGGGAGCAGCAGUGGGGAAUC
This 339-nucleotide ribosomal RNA is filed under the name uncultured soil bacterium. RNAcentral describes it as "bacterial SSU rRNA". It matches the Rfam family "Bacterial small subunit ribosomal RNA", at positions 26 to 363 of the family's 1533-position model. The record is from RNAcentral.